GGCGGGAACAGCUGAGGGCAGAGGACCCUGGACCUCGCUCCUCUGCAGGGGCAGGCUCUGUUGCCCUGGGGAGGGCCCCAGCAUGGUCACCGCCUGCCCCGUCCGUCCUCAAGCACCGGGGGAGCUUGGGACUCAAGCCAGAGGCCAAUAUCUGGCCACAGCCACAGGGGGACCCUUUAAAAGCACAGCUUCCAAAACUUCUGAUUCUUUGCAAAGUUUUUCAGAAACUUUUGGAGGUCUAAAAACUUGUGUUUUUGCUCAUCCGCACAAGCACCAUGAACCACUUUCUGCCUCGUGACCUGCAGGUUUCCACCCAACUCUGAGGACAAGUCUAUCCUCCGUUGUAAAGUCAAGAGAUUGAGUAAGAGUGGGCUGUUCAAGGUCAGCUUGUGGGCCUGGGCCAGUGGGACGCAGGAUUUAGGGGCAGAGGGCGGCAGGCCUCAGGCCACAGUGCAUGUUUGUGACCUACUCCCCUGUUUGCUGCCCUGGGAGAGUGGCCUUGGUUUCUCUCCCUGAGGUUUAUUUUUUGCUCCCUCUGCUUUGGUCCAAGCCCCAGGACAUGAAAAGGGAGAACAACCCUGCCUGAACUCUACCUCCCUAAAGGUGAGGGGCUGGGGUAUUCACAGGGUAAGGACGCAGCGUGGUCUGAGGUGUGGGGAGAAGGGAAAGGUGAUGGGAAAUAAAAGGUGAGUUUCACUGUUGUUCUGAGCAGGCCUUGACUAAGCUGUGGGUUUUCCACAGGACACUUGUUCAGUAGAUGGAGCAGUUAGCAGCUUCUGAAGGUAGCCUUUUGGUCCCCGAUGUCUCAAAGGUCACUAGGCGGACACUCGUGCGUGCCCAGUGGGAGGCUUGGUGGUCCCAACCAGCCUGAACCAGACACAACUAACUCCAAAUUCUUAGAAAACAACUUGGGCAAACAUCUUAUUGUUUGUGCUCAGUGACGUGUGGAGGACACGCAAGCCUUUUGUGACGGCAGUGAAAGCAAGCUUGAUAAAAUGAGGACAGGUACAGGUGUAAUGGAUUUAACAAUUUCCUUUGGUUUCAAAACCUUAGUAAACAUGAGUGCAUGUAUGCUAAUUCUCUUCAGUUGUGUCUGACUGCGAGUCCAUGGACUGUAGCCCACCAGGCUCCACUGUCCAUGGGAUUCUGCAGGCAAGAACACUGGAGUGGGUUGCCAUGCCCUCUUCCAGGGGAGCUUCCCAACUCAGGGAGUGAACCCACACCUCUUACAUCUCCAGCACUGGCAGGCAGGUUCUUUACCACCAGUGCCACCUGUGAAGCCCUAAUUUCAGUUUCUCCAGGAGCAAAGUAGCUAGUAGCUAGUUCUGGCCCAGUGUCUUUGAUGAGGUUGCCAGUGGCUGGGACGUCCUUGGUGGUCCAGUGGCUAAGACUCCACGCUCCCAAUGCAAGAGGGCCUGGGUUCAAUCCCCAGUCAGGGAACUAGAUCCCACAUGCCAAGACCCAGGGCAGCAAAAUAAAUAAAAAUUUAAAAAGAAGAUGGUGGCUGAGGUUACAGCAUCUGAAGGCUUGGCUUGGGACUCAAGGUUUCCUCCCCUGCUCAGGGGCCCCCUCACGCUCUGGGCAAGCUGGUGCUGACUGUGGGCGCGAGGACUCAGUUCCUCUGCCUGGGGGCCUGUCCACACACCAGCGUGAGUGUCCUUACAGCCUGAUGUCUGGCUCCCUCCAGGACCGAGCACAGCAGAGGGGCUUCAGAGUCACGAGCUUUCAGCUCCAUCUUAUUCUGUUGGUCAUGCAGGCCAGCGCUGAGGCACUCCAGGAGGGGGCGGGAGAAGGUCUGAACUCCAGGAUGGCGGCUCAUGGCAGGCCUGGCUGCCAUAGGGCCCUUACAGCACUGAGGGUCUGCAUGGACCAGCUUCCAUCUGGUACCUUGACUCUCGCUAAGGCUGAGCCAAGAUAUUGUGGCUUUUCUGGUUCAUUCAGCAGAUACGUCUGAGCACUUUUUCUGUGUCAGGAGAACUGGUGAAAGCUGGAGUCAGCUGUGUCUAGUUCAGCUGCGCAAGAGUCAGCGGUGUCCAGUUUGAGCUGAGCUGGUUGAGACUGGCUGGGACCACUGACCUUUCAACUGAGUGUGCGAACAUGCAAAGGCCUGUUGCUGAGCUAUGCCUGCACAAAGCGACGACCGGGACACCCUUUUCUAUCACCUUUCCCCACGGUCCCGUGUCUCAGACGACCUGCUUCUUCAGUCUUCAUCCCAUAAACACAUAAGCCCCUUGCCUGAGGGGAACCGGAUUUGGGGUUUGUUUUCCCAUCUCCUUGCUUGGUGGCCCUGCUGAUGGAUCCUCUCUUUGCUGCAGACCUUGGUGUCUCAGUGUUUUGGGUUGCGGUGCACCCAGGUGGGUGAGAAGCUGAGAGCUGAGCAUCACACCUGGAGAUGGAGCCUGGCGGGAAGACGAGCUCAUGUUGGCAAAGCUGCAUGCUGGCAGAUAACAGCCUCUUUUCCAGCCCUGGGGCAGUUUCCAGCUUCUCCAGUCACGUUCAACCCACAGCUGUAGCCGGAGAAGCCAGAGGGGAGAGAGCUACUCCAACCAUGGGAGGAAGCCUGCUGCUUCCGGAUCCCAUCAUAGAGCCCCGCUGGGGAGGGGCCAGAGUGGGAGCCCCCCACGGUCCUCCAUCCUCGAGCGCAGAGGAGAUGGGAGAGAGGCAGCGGUCUCUGCCUGGGGCUGGUCCACCCUAGCUCAGCUGAAACACAGGCUUCUCCAGCCCCGAGUCCAUGGGGUUGGACAGAAGGCAGUUUGGGGCCCCUCCCACCCAGACUGUGGGGCAGGCCCAGGACGCAUGCCUGUCGUAGAUGCUGGCCCUUCAGGAGUGGCUGCCCUGGGUAGGUUGGGGCUGGGAUGAAAGCCUGAGGCCUGGUCUCUGGGUCACUGUGUUGGGUAACUGCUGGCCAUGUUUGUAGAGCAUGCACACUCUUGUGUUCUGAUCUCUGCAGACCGUCCUUGAAGGAUGUGUGCUCCUGGGUCUGGGUAAUGUUUUUCCUUUCUCUUAAAAGAUAGACUUCUAAGAGCAGCUUUAGGUUCACAGCUAAACUAGGUGGAAAGUGUGACAUUUCAAUAUUCCUCCUCCCUCACACCCGUGGCUUCCCCGUCAUCAUCUCCACCGGUUGGUACUUGUGUUACAACUGAUGACCCCACAUGGACAUGUCAUUAUGACCCAGAGUCCACAGUUGACAUCAGGGGUCACUGUAGGUGGUGUGUGUCCUGUGGGUUUGGCCAAACAAAUAAUGACACGUAUAUUAUACAUCAAUACAGUAUCAUACAGAGAAGUUUCACUGCCCUAAAAACUCUCUGUUCUCCACCUGUUCAUCCCUCCCUCGCCACAAUCCCUCAAAAUCAGACCUUUUUAUCCUUGGCAUAUCUUGCCUUUUCCGUGACAUCAAACUAGUUGCAAUCAUAUAGCGUGUAGCCUUUGUUUCCUCCAUGUCUUCAUGACUUGACAGCUCGCUUAUUUUAGCAUGUAAUAAUAUUCCCAUCUGGAUGCCCUGUAGUUCAUUUAUCCAUCACCUACUGAAGGACACUUUGGUUGUUUUCAAGCUUUGGCAAUUAUGAAUAAAGUCACUGUGAAAAAGCACCCAUGUGCAAGUUUUUGUAUGGACAUGAGCGUCUUAAGAGGCAGGGAGGUGGUUUACUAUCUGGUCCUUGCUGGAAGCUUCCCUUGUAGCUCAGUUGGUAAAGAAUCUGCCUGCCAAUGCAGGAGACCAGUGUUUGAUCCCUGGGUUGGGAAGAUUCCCUGGAGAAGGAAAUGGCAACCCACUCCCGUAUUCUUGCCUGGAGAAUCCCAUGGACAGAGAAGCCUGGCAGGCUACAUUCCAUGGAGUCACAACAGUCGGACAUGGCUUAGUGACUAAACCACCUUGCUGGAAGGUCUCAGGGUCGGGCUGCGUGGAGAAGCUUCCCUGGGGGACCUGGAAACACCUGGUUUCUCACUGGCUUAGCUCCAGGGGGAACCCAUGUCCGUGUGUCUGGGAAAGAGGGCAGGCGAAGGAAGCCACUGAUGGAGAGGGAAAGGAAAGGCAAACGGGAAGAAAAAGAGAGGAAAAGGCUGUGUGGAUUAAACCAGAAUCCAGAUUUUUCUGAUCCUGUUGCCAAACGGUAACAUAGGACACGGAUGUCGAGUCGUUGAGGCAGGUUUGUGUGUCUCUGAGAGGGUAGAGAGUAGACCAUCCGUAUUUGAUGAACAUUCUGCCUUUAUUAUGAAAAGUGAAGCCUGGGGGUUCAGAGGGGGUUAAGAGAUUAAGGACUUGGAUACAAUCCUGGAAUUUCAUUCUUUAUAACUUUUGCACUUUUAAUGAAAAAUUUCAAACAUCUCUUCAAAGAGAUAUGCAGAGUAUAA
Long non-coding RNA from Bos taurus (domestic cattle), 4350 nucleotides. Lineage: Eukaryota; Metazoa; Chordata; Mammalia; Artiodactyla; Bovidae. The record is from Ensembl.